This 443-nucleotide ribosomal RNA is filed under the name uncultured bacterium. RNAcentral's name for it is "partial 16S ribosomal RNA". It matches the Rfam family "Bacterial small subunit ribosomal RNA", at positions 339 to 795 of the family's 1533-position model. The record is from RNAcentral.
CUACGGGGGGCAGCAGCCGAGAAUAUUCCGCAAUGGGCGAAAGCCUGACGGAGCGACGCCGCGUGAUUGAUGAAGUCCCUCUGGGACGUAAAGAUCUUUUGUCGGGGAAGAAAUUAUUGACGGUACCCGAAGAAUAAGAGGCCCCUAAUCUCGUGCCAGCAGGAGCGGUAAUACGAGAGCCUCGAGCGUUAUCCGGAAUCAUUGGGCGUAAAGGGUGCGUAGGUUGUUCUGUUAGUCUUUUGUUAAAUUCUGGGGCCCAACCCUAGAGAAGCAGAAGAUACGGCAGAACUUGAAAGUGCGAGAGGUAUACGGAACUCAUGGUGUAGGGGUGAAAUCCGUUGAUAUCAUGGGGAACACCAAAAGCGAAAGCAGUAUACUGGCGCAUGUUUGACACUUAAGCACGAAAGCGUGGGUAGCGAAUGGGAUUAGAUACCCUAGUAGUC